Non-coding RNA from Caenorhabditis elegans, 21 nucleotides. The record is from Ensembl. NCBI's taxonomy places the organism in Eukaryota, Metazoa, Nematoda, Chromadorea, Rhabditida, Rhabditidae.
CUGAACAACUUGAAAGUCAUU